CCUACGGGCGGCAGCAGUAGGGAAUAUUCCUCAAUGGGGGAAACUCUGACCCAGCAACGCCGCGUGGGUGAUGAAGGUUUUCGGAUUGUAAACCUCUUUUGUUAGAGAAGAUAAUGACGGUAUCUAACGAAUCAGCACCGGCCAACUCCGUGCCAGCAGCCGCGGUAAAACGGAGGGUGCAAGCGUUACUCGGAAUCACUGGGCGUAAAGAGCGCGGAGGCGGGAUAGCAAGUCAGAUGUGAAAGCCUAUGGCUUAACCAGAGAACUGCAUUUGAAACUGUUAGUCUAGAGUAUAGGAGAGGAAGGUGGAAUUCUAGGUGUAGGGGUAAAAUCCGUAGAGAUCAAGAGGAAUACUCGUUGCGAAGGCGACCUGCUAGAACGUAACUGACGCUGAUGCGCGAAAGCGUGGGGAGCAAACAGGAUUAGAUACCCGGGUAGUC
RNAcentral lists this ribosomal RNA (440 nucleotides) under uncultured bacterium. Its description in RNAcentral is "partial 16S ribosomal RNA". It matches the Rfam family "Bacterial small subunit ribosomal RNA", at positions 338 to 795 of the family's 1533-position model. The record is from RNAcentral.